ACGAGGUCGAAGACCCUUUGCCCACCGCGUAUUCCGCAUCCACGAGAUCGGGCGAACGAUAGCGGGCCGCGACAAGAGCNNAAGAAACACAUGCAAAUGCCGCGUAACGCAAUCGUCGCCUAAGGGUUCACCCGGAGCAGAACCGUUUAGAACGGCCAGCACGAGGGCGAACGGUACAAAUUUCGCCAAACGAAUUCCAUCAUCGUAGGUAUGCAACACAGGAAACCGCACGCGACGGACGAGGCUAAAGUCGCUCUCGCACCAACUAGUGAAGAGGAACGCACGGGAGGACAUCGCUGCCCUAGCAGGGAUCC
Molecule: unclassified non-coding RNA, 314 nt
Filed under: Faramea ovalis
Lineage: Eukaryota; Viridiplantae; Streptophyta; Magnoliopsida; Gentianales; Rubiaceae
Description: partial external transcribed spacer
Source: RNAcentral